RNAcentral lists this ribosomal RNA (625 nucleotides) under Gomphus albidocarneus. RNAcentral describes it as "partial large subunit ribosomal RNA". It matches the Rfam family "Eukaryotic large subunit ribosomal RNA", at positions 39 to 633 of the family's 3401-position model. Lineage: Eukaryota; Fungi; Basidiomycota; Agaricomycetes; Gomphales; Gomphaceae. The record is from RNAcentral.
CAUAUCAAUAAGCGGAGGAAAAGAAACUAACAAGGAUUCCCCUAGUAACGGCGAGUGAAGCGGGAAGAGCUCAAAUUUGAAAUCUGGCGGCCUCUGGCCGUCCGAGUUGUAAUCUGGAGAAGCGUCUUCCGCGCCGGACCGUGUACAAGUCCCUUGGAACAGGGCGUCGCAGAGGGUGAGAAUCCCGUCCUCGACACGGACCGCCCGGUGCUAUGUGAUGCGCUCUCGAAGAGUCGAGUUGUUUGGGAAUGCAGCUCAAAGUGGGUGGUAAACUCCAUCUAAAGCUAAAUAUUGGCGAAAGACCGAUAGCGAACAAGUACCGUGAGGGAAAGAUGAAAAGCACUUUGGAAAGAGAGUUAAACAGUACGUGAAAUUGUUGAAAGGGAAACGCUUGAAGUCAGUCGCGUCUCUCGGGACUCAGCCCUGCCCGCUUGGGCUCGGUGCACUUCCCGGUUGACGGGCCAGCGUCGAUUUUGACCGUCGGAGAAAGGCUCUGGGGGAACGUGGCACCCUAGGGUGUGUUUAUAGCCCCUGGUCGUAUGCGACGGUUGGGAUCGAGGAUCGCAGCACGCCCUCCCUUUGAGGUCGGGGUUCGCCCACGUAACGUGCUUAGGAUGCUGGCGUA